AUACGGAGGCUCCGAGCGUUAUCCGGAUUUAUUGGGUUUAAAGGGUGCGCAGGCGGCCAUUUAAGUCCGCGGUUAAAUCGUGGGGCUCAACCCCAUUCUGCCGUUGAUAUUGGGUGGCUUGAUUGCGGUCGAGGUUGGCGGAAUUCGUUGUGUAGCGGUGAAAUGCAUAGAUAUGACGAAGAAGCCCGAUUGCGUAGGCAGCUGACCAGACCGCAAAUGACGCUCAUGCACGAAAGUGCGGGGAUCGAACAGGAUUAGAUACCCUGGUAGUCCGCACAGUAAACGAUGAAUACUUGUUUUCGGCGAUAUAAUGUCGGAGGCAAAGCGAAAGCGAUAAGUAUUCCACCUGGGGAGUACGCCGGCAACGGUGAAACUCAAAUGAAUUGACGGGG
Molecule: ribosomal RNA, 392 nt
Filed under: uncultured bacterium
Lineage: Bacteria
Description: partial 16S ribosomal RNA
Rfam family: Bacterial small subunit ribosomal RNA
Source: RNAcentral